This 2558-nucleotide long non-coding RNA is filed under the name Anas platyrhynchos platyrhynchos (common mallard). RNAcentral describes it as "lncRNA (ENSAPLG00000029731.1)". Lineage: Eukaryota; Metazoa; Chordata; Aves; Anseriformes; Anatidae. The record is from RNAcentral.
ACUAUCACAGAUAACCACCCUCACCCUAGUUGCAUUAAUGAGAGCUAUCACAAUGCAAUCAAGUAUGGUUUAUUACAGCAACAGAUAAUCAGGUUCUUUUGGAUUGCCGGCGAUAGUGACUGUCUGCAAAAGCAAGCUAGUAGGCAUGAAAUACACAGGUGUUAUAGGUGUUACAGAUGUUAUACAGGUGUUGUAGGUGUUACAGAUGUUAUAGAUGUUGUAGAUGUUAUAGAUGUUAUAAAUGUUACAAAUGUGUUAGAUGUUAUAGAUGUUACAGAUGUUUUAAGUGUUACAGGUGUUAUAGGUGUUGUAGGUGUUACAGGUGCGCAGCCUAGAAAUAAACGCGUUAAAAGGAUCAAAGACUCUAUAGAGAUUUAUAAGCAAAUAUUCAGAUCUCACCCAAAGGCGUCCCAAUGGGGGGGGGAAGAGAGGCUCAGCCCAUCGACUGAUCCCAGGAGUCAGGAGGUCCUAAGGAUGUUGUAUGUCCUCGGGAUGGUAUCUCCCCUGACGGUGGUAUCUUCCCUAACAUCCCCUCUCUCUUGGGCCAGUUUAUAUUAUUUUCUGUCUUUUAGGUGGAGCUUGAGUGGCUCUAGUCAAGCAUAUCUUAGUUAUGAUUGGUGUAAAGUUUUCCCGUCUCCGUUUAAAGUAAUAGGCUCCGAGAAAUUCAGAUCUCACCCAAAGGCGUCCCAAUGGGGGGGGAAGAGAGGCUCAGCCCGUCGACUGAUCCCAGGAGUCAGGAGGUCCUAAGGAUGCUGUAUGUCCUCGGGAUGGUAUCUCCCCUGACGGUGGUAUCUUCCCUGCCAUCCCCUCUCUCUUGGGCCAAUUUAUAUUAUUUUCUAUCUUUUAGGUGGAGCCUGAGUGGCUCUAGUCAAGCAUAUCUUAGUUAUGAUUGGUGUAAAGUUUUCCCGUCUCCGUUUAAAGUAAUAGGCUCCGAGAAAUUCAGAGCGCAUGCUCAGUGAGGGGUGGUCGCACCUUGGAGGCGGGUAGCUUUUGGGAUGGAGGUGUGUUUUGGUAUUAUAAUGAUAUUAUAAUGAGCAAAAAGAACACUAGGGUACAGCAUUUGUCAAAACGUGACAGGUCUUUGGCUUAGGGUGGCAAAAAGUGCUGCUUUGUGCACAAGAACAAUCGAGGUCCCACCUGAUCACAGAGCCUAGCCGUGGUGUCUCCACUCCACUCCACGCUCCGUGGUGUUCCUUAGAGCUAGCACACCAAGUUUCCCCAGCGCAAUAGCAUCUAAGGUUGGGAGCCUAGGGAACGCUCAGAUAAUGCAGUUAUGCCCUACCCUGAAAGCCUCUUCAAAGCUGUACCUUUUCCUUAAAAACGUGAAUGUUAGUUUUAUUUUCCUAGUUACUUCAGGCAUUUACACCACAAAGGUUUGAAAGAGAUCUAGGCUUUACAGAAACAGUAUGGAAGGACUCACUGUAUAAAAGUUAUUUUUCUAACAUAGAUAUAAAAUACAAAGGGUACUUAAAGACAUAUUUUACACUGGAGCUUACUGAGACAGAGUAUAAAGACAUAGCUCUUCUAAUGAAACCAUUAAAAGUUUUUUUUUUUUUUUUUUUUUUUUUUUUUAGCAGAACAAUAUGUUUUAUCUUGAAAGCCAAGUAGAAAGCUAAAGUAUUUUCUGGUACUUGGCAAGUCUAAAAAUGUUUCCUGCUACUGCUUGUUUCAAUAACUUUUUGCAAAACACUCUAAAAUCAGUUUGAUGUCUGGAAAUAACAUUAUAAUUCCACUAGCACUUUAAAUUUACACAAAGCACUACUACAACCUCAAGAGGCUGUCCUCCUCUCACCCCAGCUUUAGCCCUUCUUUUCCAUCUCUACACCACUGCCUCCAUUAUGCUGGCAAAAAUGUUUGGGCAAUUGUGGAUUGAAUUGCUAAGUAAUCUGGUUUGAACUAACUCAGGAAAUUAAAUGUUACAACCUGAGUCCAUUCUUUGAGCCAGCUCACUGUGUCUCCACUAAAGUGCCUGGGGAAGGACAGCGUAAAGCUGGAGUAUCCACUUAAGAAGCAUCAGUACCAGAAGGGUAGGUGCUUACAGAGGUUGAAACAGAACAAGUGCUAGAGAAAGCUGUACAAUACCCAUAAAGAAGAACACCCCGGAAAGGCAGCCUUGCUUUUAAGAGUGGUAUUUCUGGUUGUCAACGAAACAUAAUGUUUCCUGUCAAUCGUGAGCUGAUUUUUGUGGAACUAUUGGAGGUCCUCUGCACUGAGCUCUCAAAUCUGCCUAGCAAGUUCAGACAGUACUUCUCGAACUGAUGAGGCCUCUAGCCACAGCAAUGGAGUCAUCUCCUUAUUCCUCCUAAAUGAAUAUGCUUGAGCCAUAUUGAGUCCGGUUGCAUUUACAUGUGUCAAGCCCAUGCUGGACCAGGCUGGGGACAUCUCUGGUCUUCUGUAGGCUCUCUGGACAGGUCACUGUAAACCCGGUGAGACUAAUGUAGCAAAGACUGCACAGCACUGAAUAAUCCUGCCAGAACUGAGCUGGCCUCCCCAGCAUCCCUGCAUCUGUAGUACAAUUAAUCUGUCAACUAAAUAAACGGCCCAUGGAUGAGCGAGCA